ACAAGGCAUUGCCUUAGUAGCGGCGAGUGAGCGGCAAAAGCUCAAAUUUGAAAUCUGGCGCCUUCGGUGUCCGAGUUGUAAUUUGAAGAUUGUAACCUUGGGGUUGGCUCUUGUCUAUGUUUCUUGGAACAGGACGUCACAGAGGGUGAGAAUCCCGUGCGAUGAGAUGCCCAAUUCUAUGUAAGGUGCUUUCUAAGAGUCUAGUUGUUUGGGAAUGCAGCUCUUAGUGGGUGGUAAAUUCCAUCUAAAGCUAAAUAUUGGCGAGAGACCGAUAGCGAACAAGUACAGUGAUGGAAAGAUGAAAAGAACUUUGAAAAGAGAGUGAAAAAGUACGUGAAAUUGUUGAAAGGGAAGGGUUUGAGAUCAGACUCGAUAUUUUGUGAGCCUUGCCUUCGUGGCGGGGUGACCCGCAGCUUAUCGGGCCAGCAUCGGUUUGGGCGGUAGGAUAAUGGCGUAGGAAUGUGACUUUACUUCGGUGAAGUGUUAUAGCCUGCGUUGAUGCUGCCUGCCUAGACCGAGGACUGCGAUUUAAUCAAGGAUGCUGGCAUAAUGAUCCCAAACCGCCCGUCUUAAAAAAGGGACCAGAC
Molecule: ribosomal RNA, 587 nt
Filed under: Meyerozyma guilliermondii
Lineage: Eukaryota; Fungi; Ascomycota; Pichiomycetes; Serinales; Debaryomycetaceae
Description: eukaryotic LSU rRNA
Rfam family: Eukaryotic large subunit ribosomal RNA
Source: RNAcentral